This 237-nucleotide ribosomal RNA is filed under the name uncultured bacterium. Its description in RNAcentral is "partial 16S ribosomal RNA". It matches the Rfam family "Bacterial small subunit ribosomal RNA", at positions 96 to 334 of the family's 1533-position model. The record is from RNAcentral.
UGGCGAACGGGUGAGUAACGCGUGGGUAACCUGCCUCAUACAGGGGGAUAACAGUUAGAAAUGACUGCUAAUACCGCAUAAGACCACAGCACCGCAUGGUGCGGGGUAAAGACUCCGGUGGUAUGAGAUGGACCCGCGUCUGAUUAGCUAGUUGGUAAGGUAACGGCUUACCAAGGCGACGAUCAGUAGCCGACCUGAGAGGGUGACCGGCCACAUUGGGACUGAGACACGGCCCAA